AGGUCGGAAGUGGACAGAGAGAGAGGGAGCGGAGAAAGGCGUUGGUCGUGGGAGAUCCCGUGUCGUGGUGUCGUGGUGUGCGGCGGCGGCGGCGAGCGGUACAGACUGAGGCUGCUUAUGCACCUGGACGGCCAGAGCCUGCUCCUUCUCCUACUCACCCUCCUACCUCUGCUUCGACUCCUCCUCCUUCACGUCCCUUCGAGAUUCUUCUUCCGGUUCGUCGUGCAGCUGGUUGAGUUCUCCGACGUCCUUUUCCUAGGGCUCAAGAAAUUUAUAAACCUUCUCACACUAUUUCUCGAGAACCUUAAGUUACUACUACUGUAACGACUACUAGUUCUUUCACUGCUCCUUGGAUUUAGACAGGGAUUCCUCCUCGGUUUUCUUUCACAAUUUGGUUAAUGCUACCUUUACCAACUAAGGACCACGUUUCCCCGGCUUCUACCCUUCUAUCCUAGAUAGUCCAGAUAAGAAGUUCGGAAGUCCUCUCGAACGGUAAUACCGCUCCUGUCACCCCUGUUAAGUCGUGGUUUUAAGUCACAGUACAGGCCAUCACAUGAGCUGUUUCAGUACGUGAUGCAAAACUUCUUGUACCUAUCGUAGGAAGCGGUUAAUGAGCCACGGGGAUCGAGACCUCCCUUCUUUCUCUUUUAGUCACUCGACUACUACUGAUUAAGUACCUUCUCCUUACCGUUAGAUUACUCCCACAUAGAACAGUUACGUGAGGUAUACUAUUGGCUCUACUGACUACUGGUUUACUAGCGUAAAUGAUAAGAGGCACAGUCUCGUAGUCGACAAAAAGACCGUCGGAAGGGAAGAGAGGAAUCCUUCAUACAAUUCUGGGACAACAUAUGGACCCGAUCUCCAGCUCCACGGUACGGGAAAUAAAGCAAAAACAAGGAGGCUCUGAACACACAAGUUCAUCCAGGCCUAACGGAACUGUGUACGGAGUUCCCAUAGAUGUUCCGAAUAAACCACUUGACGUUCAACAGGUUCAGAUAGUCGCCUAGCUUUGACGUCGUGUAAGUUAAAGAACCCUUAACACAGUUUCUUAACAUAUAGAACCUGGGAGUUUCACGAAUAGUUGUACGAAAACAAAAGUAAGCAGUCAACCGUCAAUAGGAUUCUCCACGAGAAUGGCUUUCUCCUGGUUUCUGUAGUUUCCUGUUUUUCGUCUUUCUUUCUUUGUUUGGUUGCUUGUUUGUCGACCUCCACAACACACACCUACAUCAAGACUCCUUUUAAAGGCCGGAAACCGGAUAGGCAAUUGGGUCUAUUAUGUGCCACAUCGUACAGAACAUGGCUCACGUGCAAUGAAGGGACAUGCGUAAUCUACACAUUUCUACGAAUUAACGUAACGGCUUCGGUGGCCAUGGAAAUAAGGCCACAGGAGAGACAACGAACUAUACGAUCUUUACUUUCUUGAAUCUCCGGCAGGUCUACCACCACAACCGUUUCGUCACUUAUACAAGUUACAAUUUGUCCAUCUAUUCUUUUACCACUUCUGUGCACGGAAAGUCCUUCGAACGUAAAUGAGACACCAACUACUCGACCGAUUCGUAAACCGCGUCACCUCGAUGAGACAACGGAAGUAGCUCUACAGGAAAAACGGUGAACAAGUUGAAGCCUUGAAAACGUUUUGGUAGUUCCGACUGUCUAAAGCUUUUCUCUACUUCCUAGAAUAAGUAGUCCAUCUCCGUUUACAACUCAAGUACUCGCGUUUCGCACGGACUUAAUGUAAGGGGGGGUUACUAGGUCGACAUCUAAGUAAAGAUGUCCGACUCUUCCUUCCCGCCAACUCGGGAGAGAGUUUUAUACAACGAUGAGAUGUAGUCUCUCGUUUCUUGUCUUAGCUAAGAUACCUACUCUGUUCACAAUAGCACCCACGUCUCAGGAGAUGGAAAAGCUUCUCCGAUACCCUCCGUGUCUUCGUUGUCCUCCUUGUACUACUAUCACUUCUUGGGUAACGAAAGUCAUUCUUGAACAACCGCCUCUUCUUCUUUUGUUUUCGACGUUUCCUCUUCUUGUUCUUUGCUCGGGCACUGCUGCUACUACACGGGCGCCUCCUCCUACACCAACUCCUAAACUAGAACUCAAGCCUGCUCCUUCGCCUUCUACUCUUGCUACCGGAACCGAGUCUGCUCCUACCGAGGCGCGGGCAACUUCUACUGUCGCUACUUCUGAAACACCUGGGUCUGUCGCGCACCCUCUUUGUCUUCCUCUUCGAUUUCUUUGCCUCGUUCAUGGUUGGCAGCUUGUUCCGUAGGAGUUUUUGGUUUUCCUUUGGGGUGGGAUUCUUCUUUCGGUUCGUAAUUAGUUCCAUCUCGAUCCCGAGCCGUUUCUGACAACUGCUGCACGAUACGAAAGUCAGUACUCUUUGUGGAGGGACAGUGCCCUUUAAAACAAACUCAACUCUUAAUGUGUCGAAGGAAACAGUAAAGGUACGUAAAUAUAGCUCCAAUAAGUAUAAGACGAGUCAAGUUGAAACG
Molecule: ribosomal RNA, 2486 nt
Filed under: Triticum aestivum (bread wheat)
Lineage: Eukaryota; Viridiplantae; Streptophyta; Magnoliopsida; Poales; Poaceae
Description: partial small subunit ribosomal RNA
Source: RNAcentral